This 250-nucleotide ribosomal RNA is filed under the name uncultured bacterium. Its description in RNAcentral is "partial 16S ribosomal RNA". It matches the Rfam family "Bacterial small subunit ribosomal RNA", at positions 524 to 773 of the family's 1533-position model. The record is from RNAcentral.
UACAGAGGUGGCAAGCGUUGUUCGGAAUUACUGGGCGUAAAGGGCGCGUAGGCGGCCUUCUAAGUCAGACGUGAAAUCCCCAGGCUUAACUUGGGAACUGCGUCUGAUACUGGGAGGCUUGAAUGCGGGAGAGGGAUGUGGAAUUCCAGGUGUAGCGGUGAAAUGCGUAGAUAUCUGGAGGAACACCGGUGGCGAAGGCGGCAUCCUGGACCGACAUUGACGCUGAGGCGCGAAAGCUAGGGGAGCAAAC